RNAcentral lists this ribosomal RNA (333 nucleotides) under uncultured bacterium. Its description in RNAcentral is "partial 16S ribosomal RNA". It matches the Rfam family "Bacterial small subunit ribosomal RNA", at positions 338 to 668 of the family's 1533-position model. The record is from RNAcentral.
CCUACGGGAGGCAGCAGUGAGGAAUAUUGGACAAUGGACGCAAGCCUGAACCAGCCAUGCCGCGUGCAGGAAGACGGCUCUAUGAGUUGUAAACUGCUUUUGUACGAGGGUAAACGCUGAUACGCGUAUCUGUCUGAAAGUAUCGUACGAAUACGGAUCGGCUAACUCCGUGCCAGCAGCCGCGGUAAUACGGAGGAUUCAAGCGUUAUCCGGAUUUAUUGGGUUUAAAGGGUGCGUAGGCGGUCGGUUAAGUUAGAGGUGAAAUCCCGAGGCUCAACUUCGGAAUUGCAUCUGAUACUGUUCAGCUAGAGAGUAGGAGCGGUAGGCGGAAUG